This 449-nucleotide ribosomal RNA is filed under the name uncultured bacterium. RNAcentral describes it as "partial 16S ribosomal RNA". It matches the Rfam family "Bacterial small subunit ribosomal RNA", at positions 29 to 523 of the family's 1533-position model. The record is from RNAcentral.
AACGAACGCUGGCGGCAUGCCUAACACAUGCAAGUCGAACGAGACCUUCGGGUCUAGUGGCGCACGGGUGCGUAACGCGUGGGAAUCUACCCUUGGGUUCGGAAUAACAGUUAGAAAUGACUGCUAAUACCGGAUGAUGACGUAAGUCCAAAGAUUUAUCGCCCAAGGAUGAGCCCGCGUAGGAUUAGCUAGUUGGUGAGGUAAAGGCUCACCAAGGCUACGAUCCUUAGCUGGUCUGAGAGGAUGAUCAGCCACACUGGGACUGAGACACGGCCCAGACUCCUACGGGAGGCAGCAGUGGGGAAUAUUGGACAAUGGGCGAAAGCCUGAUCCAGCAAUGCCGCGUGAGCGAUGAAGGCCUUAGGGUUGUAAAGCUCUUUUACCCGGGAUGAUAAUGACAGUACCGGGAGAAUAAGCCCCGGCUAACUCCGUGCCAGCAGCCGCAGUAA